ACUCUUGUUGGUGAUGGUGGCAGUGAUGUUGUAGGUGGGCGCCCCGGCGCUGCUCUUGGUACGCAGGUCCAUGGUGUGCUCCCCGUCCACCAGCAGCGAAUCCCGGAUCACCGAGCACUUCUGGCCUCCCAACGUCAGCCCGUUCACCAGCAGAGCUCCGCGCUCCGGAGACACCAACGCGUUCACCUCGGCGGGCGUGAUGUUAGCGAACGUCUUCCCGGGGGUGGCGGCCCAAACGGCGGGGGUGUCUUUAUAACCCACGAUGGCGGCGUCCUGGCAGGUCCCAUCCGCCAUCAGGCUGUCCACGUACGGCGCCCACCCGCUCAUGGCGGCGGCGGACGGAGGGGCGGCGGCGGAAGGGGGGGCGGGGCCUCGCGGUGGGAAGGGGCGGGCCUCAGCCGGGCCGGGCGGCGCGUGCGCGGUGCGGG
Molecule: long non-coding RNA, 428 nt
Filed under: Gallus gallus (chicken)
Lineage: Eukaryota; Metazoa; Chordata; Aves; Galliformes; Phasianidae
Source: RNAcentral